GUGGGGAAUCUUGCACAAUGGGCGCAAGCCUGAUGCAGCGACGCCGCGUGGAUGAUGAAGGCCUUCGGGUUGUAAAGUCCGGUAAGCAGGGAAGAAUAAGCAACGGGUAAUAUUCGUUGUGAUGACGGUACCUGCCUAAAGCCCCGGCUAACUACGUGCCAGCAGCCGCGGUAAUACGUAUGGGGCAAGCGUUGUUCGGAAUUAUUGGGCGUAAAGGGCGUCUAGGCGGGGGAUUAAGUUAGAUGUGAAAGCUAUGGGCUCAACCCAUAAAUUGCAUCUAAGACUGGUUCUCUUGAGUCCGGGAGAGGAGAGCGGAAUUCCAGGUGUAGCGGUGAAAUGCGUAGAUAUCUGGAAGAACACCAGUGGCGAAGGCGGCUCUCUGGCCUAGGACUGACGCUGAAGCGCGAAAGCGUGGGGAGCGAACAGGAUUAGAAACCCGUGUAGUCC
Molecule: ribosomal RNA, 447 nt
Filed under: uncultured bacterium
Lineage: Bacteria
Description: partial 16S ribosomal RNA
Rfam family: Bacterial small subunit ribosomal RNA
Source: RNAcentral